UACGAAGGGUGCAAGCGUUACUCGGAAUUACUGGGCGUAAAGGGCGCGUAGGCGGCCUGUUAAGUCGAACGUGAAAUCCCCGGGCUCAACCCGGGAACUGCGUCCGAUACUGGCAGGCUCGAAUCCGGGAGAGGGAUGCGGAAUUCCAGGUGUAGCGGUGAAAUGCGUAGAUAUCUGGAGGAACACCGGUGGCGAAGGCGGCUUUCUGGACAGUAACUGACGCUGAGGCGCGAAAGCUAGGGGAGCAAACAGG
RNAcentral lists this ribosomal RNA (253 nucleotides) under uncultured bacterium. RNAcentral describes it as "partial 16S ribosomal RNA". It matches the Rfam family "Bacterial small subunit ribosomal RNA", at positions 524 to 776 of the family's 1533-position model. The record is from RNAcentral.